Molecule: ribosomal RNA, 1389 nt
Filed under: metagenome
Description: bacterial SSU rRNA
Rfam family: Bacterial small subunit ribosomal RNA
Source: RNAcentral
AGAGUUUGAUCCUGGCUCAGGACGAACGCUGGCGGCGUGCCUAAUACAUGCAAGUCGAGCGGACAGAUGGGAGCUUGCUCCCUGAUGUUAGCGGCGGACGGGUGAGUAACACGUGGGUAACCUGCCUGUAAGACUGGGAUAACUCCGGGAAACCGGGGCUAAUACCGGAUGGUUGUUUGAACCGCAUGGUUCAAACAUAAAAGGUGGCUUCGGCUACCACUUACAGAUGGACCCGCGGCGCAUUAGCUAGUUGGUGAGGUAACGGCUCACCAAGGCGACGAUGCGUAGCCGACCUGAGAGGGUGAUCGGCCACACUGGGACUGAGACACGGCCCAGACUCCUACGGGAGGCAGCAGUAGGGAAUCUUCCGCAAUGGACGAAAGUCUGACGGAGCAACGCCGCGUGAGUGAUGAAGGUUUUCGGAUCGUAAAGCUCUGUUGUUAGGGAAGAACAAGUGCCGUUCGAAUAGGGCGGUACCUUGACGGUACCUAACCAGAAAGCCACGGCUAACUACGUGCCAGCAGCCGCGGUAAUACGUAGGUGGCAAGCGUUGUCCGGAAUUAUUGGGCGUAAAGGGCUCGCAGGCGGCUUCUUAAGUCUGAUGUGAAAGCCCCCGGCUCAACCGGGGAGGGUCAUUGGAAACUGGGGAACUUGAGUGCAGAAGAGGAGAGUGGAAUUCCACGUGUAGCGGUGAAAUGCGUAGAGAUGUGGAGGAACACCAGAGGCGAAGGCGACUCUCUGGUCUGUAACUGACGCUGAGGAGCGAAAGCGUGGGGAGCGAACAGGAUUAGAUACCCUGGUAGUCCACGCCGUAAACGAUGAGUGCUAAGUGUUAGGGGGUUUCCGCCCCUUAGUGCUGCAGCUAACGCAUUAAGCACUCCGCCUGGGGAGUACGGUCGCAAGACUGAAACUCAAAGGAAUUGACGGGGGCCUGCACAGGCGGUGGAGCAUGUGGUUUAAUUCGAAGCAACGCGAAGAACCUUACCAGGUCUUGACAUCCUCUGACAAUCCUAGAGAUAGGACGUCCCCUUCGGGGGCAGAGUGACAGGUGGUGCAUGGUUGUCGUCAGCUCGUGUCGUGAGAUGUUGGGUUAAGUCCCGCAACGAGCGCAACCCUUGAUCUUAGUUGCCAGCAUUCAGUUGGGCACUCUAAGGUGACUGCCGGUGACAAACCGGAGGAAGGUGGGGAUGACGUCAAAUCAUCAUGCCCCUCAUGACCUGGGCUACACACGUGCUACAAUGGACAGAACAAAGGGCAGCGAAACCGCGAGGUUAAGCCAAUCCCACAAAUCUGUUCUCAGUUCGGAUCGCAGUCUGCAACUCGACUGCGUGAAGCUGGAAUCGCUAGUAAUCGCGGAUCAGCAUGCCGCGGUGAAUACGUUCCCGGCCA